Molecule: long non-coding RNA, 2061 nt
Filed under: Homo sapiens (human)
Lineage: Eukaryota; Metazoa; Chordata; Mammalia; Primates; Hominidae
Description: non-protein coding ILF3-DT:14
Source: RNAcentral
GGCGGAGCCUCCCUACGGCUGCGACAUUUUGCGCCUGCGCGGCCGCCAUCUUACGCCCGUCGCCCUGAGUACGUUAGCGGAAAUGGCUCCGAGAGGCUUUGACGCAUGUGUACCUUUUUAGUGGCGGUAUCUCGGCCGGGGAUUUUCGGGCUCCAGUGGAGGUGGCUAUGCUCACCCCAUCUCCCUUGAGAGGCACAGAAGGUUAGAGAUGUGUGCGAGGAACGGCCAGGUCCAGCGUCUCCUCGUUGCUGCCCCUUGAGCCCGGGACCGGCGCCAAUGCGCGCCCGGGUUCUUGGGUUCUUUCGUCCCGCAGACCUGCCUUGGUGUGGCGUCCCUGGGCCGUAGCUUCCGAAGGCUGCAGCCGACCUGGUCGGGGUCCUCUAGCCCGCCUUCCCCUUCCCCCAUUGACAGAUGGAGAAACUGAGGCCCAGGCCAAAAAAUAUCUCACUAGAGGGCUCACCGCCAUUUCCUGGAAAAAUUGGGGCUGGGACUCAACGGACGCUCGUCCAGCAGCAGCGCGGAGCUCCGAAGUAAAGGCGCCCGUGACCGAGUGCUUUGUCCUUACAAGCGUGGUGUUCUUGAAUGCUUCCAGGCGCCUUAUGAGGCCCCCGAUGUACAAUCUGUGCUUAACUAAACCCCACUGUCUUCCAGGGUCAGGUUGGCCAUCCGCAGGCGUAGUUGCUAGGAAGGUUUGACAGAUGUCCGCCUGUUGAUUCAGACGUUCCCAGGAUUUGGAGCAAGAAGAGCAAGGAAGGCCAGGCGCGGUGGCUCACGUUUGUAAUCCCAGCACUUUGGGAGGCCGAGGCGGGCGGAUCACGAGGUCAGGAGUUCGAGACCAGCCUGGCCAGCAUGGUGAAACCCCGUCUCUACUAAAAAUACAAAAGAAAAUUAGCCGGGUGUGGUGGCACAUGCCUGUAGUCCCACCUACUUGGGAGGCUGAGGCAGGAGAAUUGUUUGACCUGGCAGGCGGAGGUUGCAGUGAGCCGAGAUUGCGCCACUGCACUCCAGUCUGGGCGACAGAGCGAGACUCUGUCUCAGAAAAAAAAAAGAGCAAGGAGGUGUUGAAAAUGGGUUUCCUGGCUGGGCGUGGUGGCUCACGCUUGUAAUCCCAGCACUUUGGGAAGCUGAGGUGGGCGGAUCACUUGAGGUCAGGAGUUUGAGACCAGCCUGGCCAACAUGGUGAAACACCGUCUCCACUAAAAAUAGAAAAAUUAACUGGGUGUGGUGGAGGGCGCCUGUAAUCCCAGCUAAUCAGGAAGCUGAGACAGGAGGAUCGCUUGAACCCAGGAGGCGGAGGUUGCAGUGAGCCGAGAUUGCUCCAUUGCACUCCAGCCUGGGCGAUAGAGUGAGACUCAGCCUCAAAAAAAAAAAAAAAAAAAAAUUCGCCAGGUGUGGUGGUGUGCGCCUAUAAUCCCAGCUACUCAGGAGGCAGAGGCACAAGAAUGGCUUGAAUCACUUGAACCUGGGAGGCAGAGGUUACAAUGAGCCGAGAUGGCACCACUGCACUCCAGCCUGGGCGACAGAGCGAGACUCCGACUUCCCAUCUUAAAAAAAAAAAAAAAAAAAAAAAAGAAGUGUAAAGAUGUGAUUAUGUGGCAGGGGGUAAGGGUUAAAAAGAAAACAAGAACAAGUUUUCCUCUGCUUAGCCAGCUUACUUCAAGGACAGUUAUAACACUGAAAAGUCGAGGCCAAAGGAAUGGGCUCCAGACAGCCUCCUCCGGAGCAAAGUUGAAAAGAAAAAUUCCUUUACUGUCUCUCCUUUUCUGAACCAUUAAAUAUGACUGUUUGCCAAUGGUUGUAUUUAGUAAGAUUUGUAGACUCUGUUUUUCUUUUGACACAGCUGCAAGGCCAACAGCUGUGCAAAGCCACAAGUUAUGCUAAGUCAGCAGUUAUGCUAUAGAUUACAUGACCUGUGACUGUAUCAUUAACUGCUUUUGUUUUGCUUCUGUAAGUUUGCCUAUAAAAACCACACUCAGUCUUUGUUCAAUGGUCAGCUUUUCAGAUACAAAUCCACUGAGCCGGUGUACAUCUAAAUAAAUCCUCCUGUUUCCCGUGUCAGUC